Molecule: ribosomal RNA, 77 nt
Filed under: Staphylococcus aureus
Lineage: Bacteria; Bacillati; Bacillota; Bacilli; Caryophanales; Staphylococcaceae
Description: partial 23S ribosomal RNA
Source: RNAcentral
GGUUAAUAGGUUCGAGGUGGAAGCAUGGUGACAUGUGGAGCUGACGAAUACUAAUCGAUCGAAGACUUAAUCAAAUU